Molecule: long non-coding RNA, 242 nt
Filed under: Phoenix dactylifera (date palm)
Lineage: Eukaryota; Viridiplantae; Streptophyta; Magnoliopsida; Arecales; Arecaceae
Description: long non-coding RNA (PDAC_LNC021408)
Source: RNAcentral
UCCGACCACACACAUAACAAAAACGAGCACCACCUUCCUCUUUCUUCUUCUUCUGCUCCUGGGAUUGAAUAGGCUUCCCAUUGUAGUGGUGGUUAGGGUUUCUAGGGUUGUAGGGUUUCUUCUUGAAAUUCUUACGGAAGGGUCGGUUCUGAUUUUUCUUAGGAGGAGCCUCUACAUUAUAUGCAUUAUUCUUAGGUCCAGUAGAGGUAUUAUUUCUGAGCCUAUGUUGCUCUUCAAUCCUA